GUGUGGAUUGGUUUGUCUGACGCAGAGCAGGAGGGCAACAUGAAAUGGGUGGAUAAUUCACUGCUGAAUAGAGGGUUUUGGUGUGAAG
Long non-coding RNA from Sinocyclocheilus grahami, 88 nucleotides. RefSeq lists it as uncharacterized. The transcript is spliced from 3 exons. The record is from RefSeq and is a predicted model, not a curated record. NCBI's taxonomy places the organism in Eukaryota, Metazoa, Chordata, Actinopteri, Cypriniformes, Cyprinidae.